GGGGUUGUGGCUCAGUGGUAGAGCAUUUGCCUUGAGUGUAUGAGGCACUGGGUUCAAUUCUCAGCACCA
Molecule: transfer RNA, 69 nt
Filed under: Ictidomys tridecemlineatus (thirteen-lined ground squirrel)
Lineage: Eukaryota; Metazoa; Chordata; Mammalia; Rodentia; Sciuridae
Description: Spermophilus tridecemlineatus (thirteen-lined ground squirrel) tRNA
Rfam family: tRNA
About the family: Transfer RNA (tRNA) molecules are approximately 80 nucleotides in length. Their secondary structure includes four short double-helical elements and three loops (D, anti-codon, and T loops). Further hydrogen bonds mediate the characteristic L-shaped molecular structure. tRNAs have two regions of fundamental functional importance: the anti-codon, which is responsible for specific mRNA codon recognition, and the 3' end, to which the tRNAs corresponding amino acid is attached (by aminoacyl-tRNA synthetases). tRNAs cope with the degeneracy of the genetic code in two manners: having more than one tRNA (with a specific anti-codon) for a particular amino acid; and 'wobble' base-pairing, i.e. permitting non-standard base-pairing at the 3rd anti-codon position.
Source: Rfam by way of RNAcentral